RNAcentral lists this long non-coding RNA (484 nucleotides) under Sarcophilus harrisii (Tasmanian devil). RNAcentral describes it as "lncRNA (ENSSHAG00000021485.1)". The record is from RNAcentral. Lineage: Eukaryota; Metazoa; Chordata; Mammalia; Dasyuromorphia; Dasyuridae.
CCUUGCUUCAAGUAUACUUCCCUAGAAUUCUGGCUCUCUACAAUACACUAUUGACUAAAUGGAAAGAACAAUAAUAAAAAAAUGAAAUUGAAACCUGUUCAAUUAUAAUGGCUCCAGGCUGGUCCCCCUAGGUUCCCCAUGAAUAACUGAGUCCCAGUGGACGGGACAAGUGGCACCCAAUGUGGGGGGCAAGAGGUGAGGACCCUUGCCAGGCGGACCCCGAAGAAUCGUCUGGACCCCGAAGAAAUCACAAGGAUCCCCUUCUGUCCUUGAGUGGGAGAUCUACUAAGUAUCAUCAUAAAGAAGCGAAUGAACCCAUUGUCUUAAUGUUUAUAAACCCAAAGAUCCCUACUGUCAAGAUAAGAAUUACUAUUCAACAAAAACUGGAAAGCAACAUGGCAGAAACUAGGUACAGAACAACAGCUCAUGACAUAUUCCAACAUUUGCUUCAAAUGAAUAUCAUAAAUAAAUUAAAGGAACAAGG